GACGAACGCUGGCGGCGUGCCUAAUACAUGCAAGUAGAACGCACAGUUUAUACCGUAGCUUGCUACACCAUAGACUGUGAGUUGCGAACGGGUGAGUAACGCGUAGGUAACCUGCCUGGUAGCGGGGGAUAACUAUUGGAAACGAUAGCUAAUACCGCAUAAUAUUAAUUAUUGCAUGAUAAUUAAUUGAAAGGUGCAAUUGCACCACUACCAGAUGGACCUGCGUUGUAUUAGCUAGUAGGUGAGGUAACGGCUCACCUAGGCGACGAUACAUAGCCGACCUGAGAGGGGGGUCGGCCACACUGGGACUGGGACACGGCCCAGACUCCUACGGGAGGCAGCAGUAGGGAAUCUUCGGCAAUGGACGAAAGUCUGACCGAGCAACGCCGCGUGAGUGGAGAAGGUUUUCGGAUCGUAAAGCUCUGUUGUAAGAGAAGAACGGGUGUGAGAGUGGAAAGUUCACACUGUGACGGUAUCUUACCAGAAAGGGACGGCUAACUACGUG
This 505-nucleotide ribosomal RNA is filed under the name uncultured bacterium. RNAcentral describes it as "partial 16S ribosomal RNA". It matches the Rfam family "Bacterial small subunit ribosomal RNA", at positions 28 to 507 of the family's 1533-position model. The record is from RNAcentral.